UAUGUGUAGUUGCAAAAAAUUUGAGUUUGCUGGUAUUUUGUGCUCACACAUUCUUAAAGUUUUGUCUUCCAAAAAUAUUAUAAAGAUUCCCGAACAAUAUAUUCUAAGAAGGUGGACAAAAAAUGCAAAAACAGAAACAAUUGCACGAGUUUCUUACGAGAGUAGUGCAACUAAUGAGGAUCCUAAGACAAGUAUGGCAAGGCGUUAUAAAGAGUUGUGUAGGUUGCAAACUCAAAUAGCAACAAGGGGGUCAGAAACCGAAGAAGCAUAUAAUAUUGUUAUUCAUGGUUUUAAUAGGAUCUUGGAAACUAUCGAUACAAGCACAUUCACCCAACAGAUGCAAUCUUGUACUUCAACCACCAUGUCUAACCGCAAUGAGAAUAAUAUUGUUGAUGGAGUUGGUAAAGUAGCAGGAAUUAAGCAUAAGGAAAGAAUUCGUGGUAGCUCUAUGAGGCCAAAAAGUGCUCUUGAAAAGGGUAAGAAAAAGAAAAAAGUUGUCCAAGCUCAACAGGUACCUUAAGUUAACUUAUUGUUACUCUAUUAAAUCUUAAGAUUGUGUUGAAUGUUUCUAAAAAAUUUAUUACACUGUUAAUAUUUUGUGCUGCAGGUUUCACAGAAUUCAUUAGAUCUCACACCAACACUUAACACUAGUCAAGUACAUUUCCAUUGUCUAAAAAUAUUUUUAUCUUUAUUCACACAAUUUGUUAAAAUAAAUAAUUAUCUUGUAUUAUACACAGAUUGAAUCUCAUGUUGAUAUUGAACAUCUUACUACGGUGCCAAGUUUUCUUGAAUUAUUAAAACAGGUUGAGCCACUUCAUUCAACUGCAUCAUUUCAAAGAUUUGGAGCAUAGAAAUUGACAGAAGCAUGAAGAAGACUUGAGGUUGAGACACAUCAUUCAACUUCAUCAUUUCAAAGAUUUGGAGCAUAGAAAUUGACAGAAGCAUGAAGAAGACUUGAGGUUGAGACACAUCAUUCAACUUCAUCAUUUCAAAGAUUUGGAGCAUAGAAAUUGACAGAAGCAUGAAGAAGACUUGAGGUUGUUAUUUGCAGUUGCUGGUUGCUAGUUUUUACACAAAUACUUGUUAUUAAGUAGUACAUUAAAGACUCAUUUUUCUUUGUUUGCUGGUUGUAUAA
Long non-coding RNA from Diospyros lotus (date-plum), 1135 nucleotides. RefSeq lists it as uncharacterized. Lineage: Eukaryota; Viridiplantae; Streptophyta; Magnoliopsida; Ericales; Ebenaceae. The record is from RefSeq and is a predicted model, not a curated record. The transcript is spliced from 4 exons.